GGAAUAUAAUUCUUGAUGUCUUUUUUUUAUAAUUCUAGAAGAAGCUCGAGGGUACAAAAAAUGCAGAUUUUGUUUUACACUACACAUUUUAUUUAUUACACUAGUAGUUGUAACUUUAUAAUAUGUUACACAAAUCAACCUAAAACCCGAUUCGUUUUCUCCCCAUGCUUUAUGUUUAUAUCAUUGAAAAAGCUCUAGAUUAUCUCCCUUUGGU
This 214-nucleotide long non-coding RNA is filed under the name Mytilus galloprovincialis (Mediterranean mussel). Lineage: Eukaryota; Metazoa; Mollusca; Bivalvia; Mytilida; Mytilidae. The record is from RNAcentral.